Molecule: long non-coding RNA, 1104 nt
Filed under: Phasianus colchicus (ring-necked pheasant)
Lineage: Eukaryota; Metazoa; Chordata; Aves; Galliformes; Phasianidae
Description: lncRNA (ENSPCLG00000006714.1)
Source: RNAcentral
GGCCUAUCUCCUAAGCCUAGCCACCAUGUGAAACACUUUAAGCCUGACUGCAGACUGCAGUCACAGUCUAAGCUGACCUCAGACAGCUGUUGGAAGAGUGGUUACCUUGCCUUUCUGCUCCAUGCCUGCUGCUGUGUGGACUGGCCCUGCUCAAUGAUGGAUCCAAAAAUUAGUCUGAAGUAGAAAAGGAUAAGAUUUAGGUUGGAUCUGCACCCUGAGGCUCUGGGGUUGCUGGGUCCAACUUGAAGGAGAAUGUACAAAUCUGUGAUCAGAGGAGCAGGAGGGGAAGGUGAUUUGUCUCUUGGGCAGCUGCUACUUGUCAAGUUGGCAUCAGCCAUUUGUGAGCACUGAAGGGAUCACCUGCUCUGUGGAGAAGACAUCUGACUGAGCCAUGCAGGGGCAUUUGGCAGGUAUAUUAUGCUUUGACAAACAUGUUGACACCUUUCCUUAAAUUUUACAUGGCAAUGAAAGGAUUUUGCAUUUCAUUUCUGCAAUGAUAUUCCUUUGACUCUAAGAGUGCUUUUGCAGUCUGGCAAAGCACAGAUCUGACGAGGCUAGGGUGUGAAACUAGGGAACUGACGCAAACCAGGGGGACCCAGGCUGAUUGCCUCCUGGGCUGAACUGCAAGGACGAGCUUGUUGAGGAGGUGCGAGCACAAGGUGUUAGUUUGUGAAAGAUCCCUCCCACCAGCAGGUGUUUGCCAUGGAAGGUGAGCAGGCCAUGUUGAGUCACAGGGUGCUGUGAGGCGCAGCCUGCAUCAUCUGGGCAGCGAGGGGGUGUUCCUGCGUGUCCAUGGCAUGGCUGCAGGCUCAGGGCUGCGCAGGCCAGCCAAGAGCUGGGCCAUCCAAGUCCAGCAGCACCUUCUCUACUGGAACAAGCUGCUGUGGAAGCUUCUUUGACUCAAUCUGCAAUUGGAUCUGCAGUGCUCCAUGCCUAAAGAGCUUAGAAUCCCAAGCUCCCCUAUAAAUAGCUAGUCUCUAGAUGAUAGAGGGAUAACCUGUGUUCAAGAAAAUAAUUCAUUCUGAAGAGUUUUGAUAACUUCAAGCAUAACUUCAACAUUACUGUCAUAAUAAAUGUUUGCAAAAGCCACUUGGUGACCUAACU